RNAcentral lists this long non-coding RNA (1971 nucleotides) under Monodelphis domestica (gray short-tailed opossum). RNAcentral's name for it is "lncRNA (ENSMODG00000045244.1)". Lineage: Eukaryota; Metazoa; Chordata; Mammalia; Didelphimorphia; Didelphidae. The record is from RNAcentral.
CCACUGCUUAGUUGCCCUCCUCUGGGCAUUCUCUAACUUGUCAAUGUUUUUCCUUAAACUCUGGGCACUCAGAGAUGAAGUAGUUUUCCUAGGGUGCCAUAGGUGCUAAAUGGAAGAGCUUAGAUUCGAACCUAGUCCUUUGAUUUAAAUUCAAUGAUUCUUGCAUCAUCUUAAAGUAUCCCUGAUUGUGUCAAUAUGGGUGGCUACUCACUCUAACAACUCGGAUAUAUAUGAUAUUCAUUGCCUUUUUUAAUAGAUUUUUUUAGAUAAAUAGAUUAAUAGAUUAAUAGUUUUUUUUUUAAACACUUACCUUCCAUCUUAGAAUCAAUACUGGGUACUGAUUCCAAGGCAGAAGAGUGAUAAGAGCUAGGCAAUAGAGGUUAAGUGGCUUACCCAGAGUCACACAGCUAGGAAGUGGCUGAGGCCAGAUUUGAACCCAGAACCUCCCAUCUCUGGGGCUGAUUCUCAAUCACACACACACACACACACACUCUUUAAAUGAUCUAUGCAUGUCUGUGUACUUUGUUGUAAGAAACUGAUGCUACUGAUUAUGACAGAAAAACCCAACAUGAGCCCUUCUGCCCUUUCCACAUCAUGCAUGCUUGAAAUUGGUCAUAUGAGCAAUAUGAGCUGCAGCUGCAGCCACAGUCUGAAGGACCUGUUGCUAUUUGUGACCUCUGCCUCAAAGCAGGAAGGACCUGAAGUCCAAAAACAGCUAUUUCACUGGUUCAACAGAAGAUCACCAGGGGUUCAUUGAUGUCUCCUGCUCCUGCCCCAAUCCAUGGUUGACUUCAGGUACUCCAACCAGAGGCUGCAGCCAAUUCUGACACUGGAACUACAAGCAGCCAGUCCACCUCCCCCUCUGGCAGCAACCAGGAACUCCUCACUCCUGGGGGUGAUUCAGCUUCUGGGGCCCCAGUUCCUCACCAACCACAUUCACUGGUAAGUGCUUCUAUUUCCCUCCUGUUCUCCUAUUGCUAUAGCCCUGGAUAGAGCAGGUAUCUAAUCCAUGGUCUUCAGGCCUCCAAAGUCCCCUAUUUGUUAUCAAUGAGGCUUGAGUUCCUGCUCUCAGGGCCUAGCACUUAUUGACUCUGUUUUAUCCAUUCCUUCAGUCCCUAGCUGUGGGUCAGUAGGGGGUCACUGGAGCCAAGUCAGCAGCAGACCUAGUUGCUCUCAGGGCCCUCUGUCAGCAGAUUCCAGUGAUAUGACCUCUGCAAUGCAAGAUUCCAAAACUCAGCAAAUAAGGUGAGGCUUCUAAUCCUGCCCUCUGGGGCUGCCUUGUGGAUCCCACUCUGUUCUUUGUUCCUGUCCUCAGGGUCUCUGGCAGUGGGACUGAGUCCAGGGAAAUCAGAAACCUUCCUCCUUAGUUGUCCUUGGCUGUUAAUCUUCAUUUGGUCUCCUGUCUGUUUUUGCUACUUUUAAUGUUUAUUUGUGGAGUUAUUUUUGGUUGUUUGGGGGGGGGGGCAUUAGGGAGUGAGGAAGCUUCACUUUCUAAUCUGCCAUCUUUCCACAAUGCUUCUGUGAAGCAACCCAUACAUAGCUUCUAAUAUGUAAUUCAGUCUUUUCUUUUUUAUUUUUCUCCUUGAUCAUGGGCCUAAUUCCUUAUCUAUCUGCAUAAUUUAUCUCAAAUAUAUGGCCUGAUGUACUAAUUUAAUAUAUGGAUUGGCCAUCUAAAUAUAUGCUGUAAUCUUUACCAUAGACAUUAAAAAAAAAUCUAUUUAGUUUUCCUCUGUAGGCUAUUGGGGGAGAUCCCCUUUGAAUAAUCAUAGAUCUCAUUAAGGAGGCCCUGUAAUGUGCUGGAGCUUCAUACAAUUAGCACAAUAUCAUUUAGAAACAGGAACAUCUGUCUUUCUCCAAGAAGCACCCAAACUAUGAAUUCAUUCAUCUUUGUGAGGCAGGUAAUGGGACACAAUCUUAGCUCUGAAUUUUUAGAUGAAUAAACUAAGGCAUGAGAUAAUGAAGCUGCUUGCC